RNAcentral lists this long non-coding RNA (384 nucleotides) under Oryzias sinensis (Chinese medaka). Its description in RNAcentral is "lncRNA (ENSOSIG00000011340.1)". Lineage: Eukaryota; Metazoa; Chordata; Actinopteri; Beloniformes; Adrianichthyidae. The record is from RNAcentral.
CCCUGCAGUACUGUCCACUUGGACUGCGCAUCCUGAGGAGAAAUGAGUGUUGCCUGGGGGUGGAGUCCACGUCUCCCUAUUCUGUCAAAUGGUAAGGUACCGUGCACAAGGGAGCUUUGGAAUGAGCCUUUGUUUUGGUUGGCUCUCCUCCUCUUGCUCUCCUGUCAUCCUUUGAUCAUGUCAAGUUCUUGCUCUAUUCCUCACUUCAUGUCUAACCUCUUGAGUUUGAUGGGAGAGAAGAUGCAUUCAGGACCGCACCAGGAGAGAGACAAAAGUAUCCAAUUCACAUCACUCGUUUCUCCCCAGAAGGCCAUUCCUGUCCUCACCUUGAAGCUCCCACCUUUCAAGAUCUCCAUUCAGGUGACAGAAGGCAUUUUUGAGUGA